CGAUGACGAGGCUGACGCCCGUCUCAGGCAGUAUUUGUCUGGGACACGGCUGAUGCGACAUGAGGCAUUUGUAUGAGGAUAUCGUUCGACGUGGAUGUGGGGUUUCCGUCGUGAACGUGACUGACGGAAUGCGUCUUUGGUUACAGGACCGGACAAACCAUGUUACCAUGAAAGCUACACAGAGCUGCGACUGUCCGGAGACGAUCUGCAAGCCUUAUCAUAGCAGAUGUUUUCCCCGUCCCUAGGAAGUACCUACGACCUCUGCCGAUGGCCUCCGACCAGUCACGGAAAUUCAUGAUGCCGGUGCGUUUCCGUCGGUGACUCCCACGGGCCGCACUUAUGUGUACAACGACCAGCGCACAGGUCACGGAGUACGAAAUGGGCGCGGU
This is a long non-coding RNA of Amphibalanus amphitrite, 389 nucleotides long. RefSeq lists it as uncharacterized. The record is from RefSeq and is a predicted model, not a curated record. The transcript is spliced from 3 exons. NCBI's taxonomy places the organism in Eukaryota, Metazoa, Arthropoda, Thecostraca, Balanomorpha, Balanidae.